Long non-coding RNA from Actinia tenebrosa (Australian red waratah sea anemone), 1118 nucleotides. RefSeq lists it as uncharacterized. Lineage: Eukaryota; Metazoa; Cnidaria; Anthozoa; Actiniaria; Actiniidae. The record is from RefSeq and is a predicted model, not a curated record.
AGGUCUCUUUUUGCGCUCCCCCUCCUCCCCCCGGGAGCAAAGGCUGAGAAAGUUGUAAGCUAAUGUUAGAAUUAAGCGUGAAGAAAUUCCUGAAAUUCUACUAAGCCUAACCAAUUUCAUUCCUUGAUGUAUCGAGUCUUCAGGUAAAGGUUGGAUGAAAAGGAAUUUCUUUGACACUGAGUAGACUGAAAAUGAAAUAAACUUUGCCGCUCGAAGACUGGGAAUCGGCUACACUAUGACGAGUAAACUAGGAGAGUUCCAUAUCAAUUUCAUUAUUUUCCAAUAGAAAAAGAAGAAGAAGAAGAAGAAGAAGAAGAAGAAGAAAAGUACAAGGCAAAUUAUUGACUCAAGUAUCUAAACCGCCCAGAUGGCCAAUAAACUGAGCUUAGAAGAAGACUGACGACAAUGAACUUUCAGGCAAUCCAUCAUCCACUGUCUUUGGACUUGGAUGUCCCAACAGAAGGAAAAGUUAUUGAUUAUUUGAUUAAAGACAAGAAACUUGACUUUUGAAUAAUAUGUUAAGCGUUAAUUUGACAAUAGCGCGAUCUAUCAGUAACAUCUGUUCCCAACAAACCGAUGAAAGCGGUCUAACAACAUUUAUUGACAACAACACACGAAUUUAAUUAGUUUUGAGGUCUUUGAGUAUUUGAAAAUACUUCGCUCCAUUCAAUUGAAUCAAUUGGUUUAGGACUGAAUCGACAAAGCCGCUUAGGAACGAAAAGCACUCGCUACAAGAGACCAUUUUUCAAGCUUAGCACUUGUGGUGAGUAAAUCAUAUAUUCAUUACUAUUCGAAAUACACAACACCAUUUUCAUUGCGGUAUAUUGGUUAUACCAAUAGCUGUAUUGCGGUGGCGGUCUUUUAGUAGUGCCUAAGUCGCUAUUAAUGCGCGCAGAACUUUCUUUCAAGUUGUUGCAUUCCAGGGAAACAUUCAGGAAGUUAGAAAAAGAAUAGUAAAAGUUCCCAAUACACUUUAGUUUUAGUGCCGUUCAAACUAAGUAAAGGGUACUACUAUAUAUCUACGUCGAAAGUUCUACUCGAUGUUCGUCAAGGUACGUACGUAUUCACUAUCUUUAGUAUCAUUGCCUACGGGCGAGUAAUAAAGGUUCACCCCGACA